This 459-nucleotide ribosomal RNA is filed under the name uncultured bacterium. RNAcentral describes it as "bacterial SSU rRNA". It matches the Rfam family "Bacterial small subunit ribosomal RNA", at positions 340 to 791 of the family's 1533-position model. The record is from RNAcentral.
UACGGAAGGCAGCAGUGGGGAAUAUUGCACAAUGGGCGCAAGCCUGAUGCAGCCAUGCCGCGUGUAUGAAGAAGGCCUUCGGGUUGUAAAGUGCUUUCAGUCGUGAGGAAGGUGUUAAGGUUAAUAACCUUAGCAAUUGACGUUAGCGACAGAAGAAGCACCGGCUAACUCCGUGCCAGCAGCCGCGGUAAUACGGAGGGUGCGAGCGUUAAUCGGAAUUACUGGGCGUAAAGGGCACGCAGGCGGUUAAUUAAGUUGGAUGUGAAAUCCCCGGGCUUAACCUGGGAAUGGCAUUCAAGACUGGUUAGCUAGAGUCUUGUAGAGGGGGUUAGAAUUCCAUGUGUAGCGGUGAAAUGCGUAGAGAUGUGGAGGAAUACCGGUGGCGAAGGCGGCCCCUGGACAAAGGACUGACGCUCAUGUGCGAAAGCGUGGGGAGCAAACGAGGAUUAGAUACCCGGU